Molecule: ribosomal RNA, 1539 nt
Filed under: Triticum aestivum (bread wheat)
Lineage: Eukaryota; Viridiplantae; Streptophyta; Magnoliopsida; Poales; Poaceae
Description: partial small subunit ribosomal RNA
Source: RNAcentral
AUGCCAUUCCCUAUACCACUAGCCACACUGCAAGUUGCCACGCUAAUCCUCCUCGUGUCGUGCUCACUACUGCUGCUAUUGCGUACCCAAACCAAGAAGCAUCCCGCCGACCAACGACUCCCGCCCUCACCGCCGCGCCUGCCGAUCUUCGGCAACCUCCACCAACUCGGCGCGCUCCCACACCGCGCCCUGCACGAGCUCGCCGUGGCGCACGGACCCGUCAUGCUGCUCCACCUCGGCCGCGUGCCAACCCUGGUCGUCUCCUCCGCCAACGCGGCGAGGAAGGUGCUGCAGCUGCAGGACCAUGCCUUCGCCAGCCGGCCGUCGCUCGCCAUCCCGAGUCGUCUCCUCUACGGCUGCACCGACAUCGCCUUCGCGCCCCACGGCGCCUACUGGCGCAGCGUGCGCAAGCUCGCCGUGCUCCACCUCCUGAGCCCCGGCAGGGUGCGCGCGUACCGCGGCGUGCGCGAGGAGGAGGUGGCGAAGCUGGUCAGGAGGGUGGAGGAGGAACGAGCGCACGGCGGCGGCGUGGUGCGGCUCAGCGAGCUCCUGGGCGGCUUCGCCAAGGACGUGAACGGGCGGAUCAUGCUCGGAGUGCGCGCCUCGGGCGCAGCCGGGUGGCGUGCCAAGGUGGACGCGCUGCUGGAGGAGGCCAACGCGCUGCUCGGGGCGUUCCACGUCGGCGACUACUUCCCGUGGCUGGCGUGGGUGGCCGCCGUGGACGGGACCGACGCCAAGGUGAGCAGGGCGUUCGAGAGGAUCGAUCGGAUCCUCGAGGAGAUCGUCGACGUUGCCGCGAGCACCGGCGUGGGAGGUUGCCGUUGCGAGGACGAGGCGUUCGUGCAUGUGCUGCUGUCGCUUCAGAGAGAAUCGAGCGAGACAGGGUUUCGCUUGAGCAGGGACAACGUCAAGGCACUACUAGAGGAUUUGUUCGGAGCAGGGACAGACUCGACCAUCAUCGUGCUCGAAUGGGUCAUGGCCGAGCUCCUCCGCAACAAGCCAGUGAUGCAGAAGCUACAACAAGAAAUCAGGCGCCACUAUACCAAGACUAGUCACUUACUAAUGAUUACUGAGCAAGACCUUCCGGUGAUGGAGUACCUUAGGGCCGUUAUCAAGGAGACGAUGCGGUUGCACCCACCUGGGCCUCUUCUUGUUCCCCGUGAGUCUAUGAAACACGCGAGGGUCCAAGACUACCACGCCCCUAGUGGGACUCGGGUCAUUGUGAAUGCAUGGGCCAUCGGGAGAGACCCUGCAGCAUGGGAGCAUGUCGGAGAGUUCUGGCCGGAGCGGUUUAUCAACAGCAAGGUGGACUUUCGCGGGCAACAUUCCCAACUCAUACCUUUCGGUGCAGGUAGGAGGAUGUGCCCCGGGGUAGGGUUCACAACCACUGUCGUGGAGCUCACGCUUGCUAACCUUGUGGGGCACUUUGACUGGGCGGUUCCACCGUCGGUGGUGGUGGAUAUGGAAGAGGCGCCAGGAGUCACGUCACGGAAGAGGGUGCCAAUUUACGCCGUGGCGACAGUGGCACUUCAUGAGUAA